RNAcentral lists this ribosomal RNA (282 nucleotides) under Klebsiella pneumoniae. RNAcentral describes it as "partial 16S ribosomal RNA". It matches the Rfam family "Bacterial small subunit ribosomal RNA", at positions 1150 to 1431 of the family's 1533-position model. The record is from RNAcentral. Lineage: Bacteria; Pseudomonadati; Pseudomonadota; Gammaproteobacteria; Enterobacterales; Enterobacteriaceae.
UGCCAGUGAUAAACUGGAGGAAGGUGGGGAUGACGUCAAGUCAUCAUGGCCCUUACGACCAGGGCUACACACGUGCUACAAUGGCAUAUACAAAGAGAAGCGACCUCGCGAGAGCAAGCGGACCUCAUAAAGUAUGUCGUAGUCCGGAUUGGAGUCUGCAACUCGACUCCAUGAAGUCGGAAUCGCUAGUAAUCGUAGAUCAGAAUGCUACGGUGAAUACGUUCCCGGGCCUUGUACACACCGCCCGUCACACCAUGGGAGUGGGUUGCAAAAGAAGUAGGU